AACGAACGCUGGCGGCAUGCCUAACACAUGCAAGUCGAACGAGACCUUCGGGUCUAGUGGCGCACGGGUGCGUAACGCGUGGGAACCUGCCCUUAGGUUCGGAAUAACUCCCCGAAAGGGGUGCUAAUACAGGAUAAUGUCAUCGGACCAAAGAUUUAUCGCCGUUGGAUGGGCCCGCGUUGGAUUAGCUAGUUGGUAGGGUAAAAGCCUACCAAGGCGACGAUCCAUAGCUGGUCUGAGAGGAUGAUCAGCCACACUGGGACUGGGACACGGCCCAGACUCCUACGGGAGGCAGCAGUGGGGAAUAUGGGACAAUGGGCGAAAGCCUGAUCCAGCACUGCCGCGUGAGUGAUGAAGGCGUUAGGGUUGUAAAGCUCUUUUACCCGGGAUGAUAAUGACAGUACCGGGAGAAUAAGCUCCGGCUAACUCCGU
This 432-nucleotide ribosomal RNA is filed under the name uncultured bacterium. Its description in RNAcentral is "partial 16S ribosomal RNA". It matches the Rfam family "Bacterial small subunit ribosomal RNA", at positions 29 to 506 of the family's 1533-position model. The record is from RNAcentral.